GACGAACGCUGGCGGCGUGCUUAACACAUGCAAGUCGAACGGAAAGGCCCUGCUUUUGUGGGGUGCUCGAGUGGCGAACGGGUGAGUAACACGUGAGUAACCUGCCCUUGACUUUGGGAUAACUUCAGGAAACUGGGUCUAAUACCGGAUAGGAGCUCCUGCUGCAUGGUGGGGGUUGGAAAGUUUCGGCGGUUGGGGAUGGACUCGCGGCUUAUCAGCUUGUUGGUGGGGUAGUGGCUUACCAAGGCUUUGACGGGUAGCCGGCCUGAGAGGGUGACCGGACACAUUGGGACUGAGAUACGGCCCAGACUGGUACGGGAGGCAGCAGUGGGGAAUAUUGCACAAUGGGCGGAAGCCUGAUGCAGAAACGCGGCGUGCGGGAUGACGGCCUUCGGGUUGUAAACCGCUUUCGCCUGUGACGAAGCGUGAGUGACGGUAAUGGGUAAAGAAGCACCGGCUAACUACGUG
This 468-nucleotide ribosomal RNA is filed under the name uncultured bacterium. Its description in RNAcentral is "partial 16S ribosomal RNA". It matches the Rfam family "Bacterial small subunit ribosomal RNA", at positions 28 to 507 of the family's 1533-position model. The record is from RNAcentral.